This is a non-coding RNA of Kaistia sp. SCN 65-12, 68 nucleotides long. The record is from Rfam. Lineage: Bacteria; Pseudomonadati; Pseudomonadota; Alphaproteobacteria; Hyphomicrobiales; Kaistiaceae.
AGUCAAGAGUCUUGGCGCCAUUUUGGUGAGCGGAUUUCCUUUGCCUGAAGAAAGGUGAGAGAAAAAUG